RNAcentral lists this ribosomal RNA (497 nucleotides) under uncultured bacterium. Its description in RNAcentral is "partial 16S ribosomal RNA". It matches the Rfam family "Bacterial small subunit ribosomal RNA", at positions 28 to 507 of the family's 1533-position model. The record is from RNAcentral.
GAUGAACGCUGGCGGCGUGCCUAAUACAUGCAAGUCGAGCGAACGGACGAGAAGCUUGCUUCUCUGAUGUUAGCGGCGGACGGGCGAGUAACACGUGGAUAACCUACCUAUAAGACUGGGAUAACUUCGGGAAACCGGUGCUAAUACCGGAUAAUAUUUUGAACCGCAUGGUUCAAAAGUGAAAGACGGUCUUGCUGUCACUUAUAGAUGGAUCCGCGCUGCAUUAGCUAGUUGGUAAGGUAACGGCUUACCAAGGCAACGAUGCAUAGCCGACCUGAGAGGGUGAUCGGCCACACUGGAACUGAGACACGGUCCAGACUCCUACGGGAGGCAGCAGUAGGGAAUCUUCGGCAAUGGGCGAAAGCCUGACGGAGCAACGCCGCGUAAGUGAUGAAGGUCUUCGGGUCGUAAAACUCUGUUAUUAGGGAAGAACAUAUGUGUAAGUAACUGUGGACAUCUUGACGGUACCUAAUCAGAAAGCCACGGCUAACUUCGUG